This 468-nucleotide ribosomal RNA is filed under the name uncultured bacterium. RNAcentral's name for it is "partial 16S ribosomal RNA". It matches the Rfam family "Bacterial small subunit ribosomal RNA", at positions 28 to 507 of the family's 1533-position model. The record is from RNAcentral.
GACGAACGCUGGCGGCGUGCUUAACACAUGCAAGUCGAACGGUGAAGCUCCAGCUUGCUGGCGUGGAUCAGUGGCGAACGGGUGAGUAACACGUGAGCAACCUGCCCCUGACUCUGGAAGAAACGCUGGAAACGGCGUCUAAUACUGGGUACGAGAAGGGGCCGCAUGGGGACUUUCAGGAAAGUUUGUCGGUGUGGGAUGGGCUCGCGGCCUAUCAGCUUGUUGGGGAGGUGAUGGCUCACCAAGGCGACGACGGGUAGCCGGCCUGGGAGGGCGACCGGCCCCACUGGGCCUGGGAAAGGCCCCAGCACCCUACGGGGGGCAGAGGGGGGGAAUUUUCCAAAAUGGGGCAAAGCCUGAUGCGGAGGGCCCCGGUGGGGAAUGCCGGCCUUUGGGUUGUAAACCUCUUUCAGAAGGGCAGAAGCGAAAGUGACGGUACCUGCAGAAGAAGCACCGGCUAACUACGUG